AGAGUUUGAUCCUGGCUCAGAACGAACGCUGGCGGCGUGCCUAACACAUGCAAGUCGAACGGGGAUAAGUAGCUUGCUAUUUAUUCUAGUGGCGCACGGGUGAGUAACGCGUAGAUAAUCUGCCUUAGACUCUGGGAUAACAUCUCGAAAGGGGUGCUAAUACCGGAUAAGCCCACGGGGACGUGAGUUCUUGCGGGAAAAGGGGGCCUCUGCAUAUGCUCUUGAUCUAAGAUGAGUCUGCGUACCAUUAGCUUGUUGGUAGGGUAAUGGCCUACCAAGGCGACGAUGGUUAGCUGGUCUGAGAGGAUGAUCAGCCACACUGGGACUGAGACACGGCCCAGACUCCUACGGGAGGCAGCAGUGGGAAUUUUGCGCAAUGGGGGAAACCCUGACGCAGCAACGCCGCGUGAGUGAUGAAGGCUUUCGGGUCGUAAAGCUCUGUCUAGAGGGAAGAAGUGAUAUUCGGUUAAAUACCCGGGGUUUACUUGACGGUACCUCUGAAGGAAGCACCGGUCUAACUCCGUGCCAGCAGCCGCGGUAAUACGGAGGGUGCAAGCGUUGUUCGGAAUUAUUGGGCGUAAAGCGCGUGUAGGCGGUUUAGUUAAGUCUGAUGUGAAA
RNAcentral lists this ribosomal RNA (618 nucleotides) under uncultured bacterium. Its description in RNAcentral is "SSU rRNA". It matches the Rfam family "Bacterial small subunit ribosomal RNA", at positions 8 to 599 of the family's 1533-position model. The record is from RNAcentral.